GACGAACGCUGGCGGCGUGCUUAACACAUGCAAGUCGAACGGAAAGGCCCCUUUGGGGGUCCUCGAGUGGCGCACGGGUGAGUAACACGUGAGUAACCUGCCCUUGACUUCGGGAUAACUUCAGGAAACUGGGGCUAAUACCGGAUAGGAAUCCUUGCUGCAUGGUGGGGGUUGGAAAGCUUCGGCGGUUUUGGAUGGACUCACGGCUUAUCAGCUUGUUGGUGGGGUAGUGGCUUACCAAGGCUUUGACGGGUAGCCGGCCUGAGAGGCGACCGGCCACAUUGGGACUGAGAUACGGCCCAGACUCCUACGGGAGGCAGCAGUGGGGAAUAUUGCACAAUGGGCGGAAGCCUGAUGCAGCAACGCCGCGUGCGGGAUGACGGCCUUCGGGUUGUAAACCGCUUUCAGCAGGGGCGAAGCUUGUGGUGACGGUACCUGCAGAAGAAGCACCGGCUAACUACGUG
Molecule: ribosomal RNA, 464 nt
Filed under: uncultured bacterium
Lineage: Bacteria
Description: partial 16S ribosomal RNA
Rfam family: Bacterial small subunit ribosomal RNA
Source: RNAcentral